UAUUUUUCGGGUCAUAUUGGCCAACUUCUUAGUUCCAUAUCUACCAAGUUUUUUCUAGCAUCUCAUAAAUUGGAUGAAAAAUAUACAACAUAAGCAUUUCAUGACCAUGAAUAUGCCAAUAGGUGAUCCUACACGAAAGGUGAAAACAAAUGGCAUUCCAUGAAAGUAAUCACUAUACUAAUCUUGACAAAGCUUCUCAAUGAAACAUGUCACACUAUGUCAAACUAAUAAUAGUGUGACAUCCUUACAAAGCCCUAUUUUCACUUAGUUACAUAUAUGAAAGUGACAUCAGCAAUGCAAUUAAAGAACAAUUAAAGGAUGGAGUAUCUGAUGCAACUAAAGCAGAUGGAUUAAUCAAUGGCAUGUGGAAAGCUGCAAUGCUCUCGGUGGGCGGAUGAGCUCCUUCAACCGUUGGUGCUUUAGAUACUCCCAAUUCUUGCAGCCUUUAUUUGUAUAGGAAAAAAGAUUAGUGGAAGUACUACAUAUACGAAACCAAAUGCAGUGACCUUUUUGUUCAGAUCAAUACAAAUGAAAAUUUUGUAUAAAUAACAAUCCAAGACACUGCAAAUACUAUUUGGUGAGCCAUGUGGCCGCAUUUGGUCAUAUACAUUACAAACUUAACUAUAUAAAAACUAUGCAAAGUUGAGCGCACAUUAUUCUUACCAAGAAUCAAUGUCAGCUUCAGUCGGUUCAGUGCAAAGUACAGAAAUCAUAGGCACUUAUCAUCACAGCAACAUCAGUCUCUCAUCAAUCUGAUUACAUGAAGAUGAACAUAUGUGAGGACUAAACUGAACUAAAUUAAAGAUGCAUUAGAAGGGUAAUAUUGGGAUAAAUUUGUAGACACACAGAUAAGAUGCAACAAUGCCCUAUGCUCUUGACAACCCACUGUAGAGGUUCCGAAUAACACAAGCAUAUACUUUAGGAGGAUCCAUUUGGUAGGAAACCCAAUAAAAUGUAAGAGCUAUUUAUUCUAAAAAUAAUGUAACAAAACAAUAACUCUAGAAAUGAAAGGACCAUACUACUAUAACAUCCAUUCAUCUAAAUAUCUUAUGAAUCAAGGGGGUGUUUAUUCAAAAUACUAAUGUAAGAAGAAAAAAAUGAUGCCUAGAAAUUCUUUAUACUGCAAGAUGAAGCAACAAGGUAGGGUGAUCAUGGUCGUUCCAUCGUGUCUAUCAAUGUUAGUAAUGAUAUAGAAAAUCGCACAAAAAGUACAAUAAAUAACAGUAUAAGAAGGGGAGCAACACGACAAAAGUCACAUCUAAAAUGUAAUACGGAAAGGGGAAACAAAGCCCUGACGAAGAGUGGGGCAGAGGGAUCUCGAUUUAUCUUAUAUAACUAAACAUAUAAAUGAGUGCACACUUUUUUAUUUGUUUUUCAGAUAGCUAACGACUCAUGUUCAUAUGGAGUACAGUCUAUAACAGAUCAAAUCACAUUUUCUGCCCACUGCCUGUACAGUGCCCGUCAUUAUCUAGAAAAAAAAUCAGUGUCAGUAAAACGCCACAUUCAGCAUCUCCCGUUUGUGCCUACUGCCUGUACAACGCCCGUACCACAACCUUCUCCUCAAAUCACAACAGGGACCAACACACAACCAGAUUUAAUAAAUCUAAAACUCACAAUUUCCAACCAGUAUUAGAGAUGUAGUAAUUGCCCUUGUUCGUGGUGAGGCGAGUGGUGGAUCUUAUCUAAUUUGGAUCUCACCAGCAUCAACUUUAUAUCGUGGCCGGAGGUGUCCACGCCCAGCCCCUGAUCUUGCUACUACAACUACAGACCCAGAGGAGAAAAGACAGGAAAGCAAAUAGAUUAGAUUGGGGAAACAUACAUAGGUGGGGCAUCGCAAACAAGGACAAUCCAGAGGAAGCAGCAGGAGCGACGAUGGCUCCCUGAGUAUGUUACCCAUGGUGGUGAAGGCAGACAGACGGAGAAGUGUAGCCGAGUCCAGACGACGGCGAGAUUUGAGGCAGCGGCGGCCAGGGAGAGUCUAGGCGGCGGCAAGCAAGUCCCGACUGCGGCGGCAGCGGCUGCUCCUUCGUGUAGUCACUCGAGACCUGCUGUCGUGCGAACAAACAGAGAGAGGGGAAGUUAGGGCUAUUCG
RNAcentral lists this long non-coding RNA (2092 nucleotides) under Triticum aestivum (bread wheat). RNAcentral's name for it is "long non-coding RNA (TAES_LNC012029)". The record is from RNAcentral. Lineage: Eukaryota; Viridiplantae; Streptophyta; Magnoliopsida; Poales; Poaceae.